AGUAGAGCCUUUACACUCUACCUCAACUUCACUUUUUACACUUAGAACUACAAUUCCCAACCACCUUAGCUUCCCUCCAUUUGCAGACCAAUUUCAAAUGCCCCAAUCACAGACAGCCACAUACUCUCAUUUAGAUUGACUCACACUACAUCCAACCAACACCCUUCUUCCCAGAAACAAACCCCUUCCUCUUCCUAACUCCCCCCCUCAUUUCUAACUGAAAUACCAAACACACCAGCACUAGGCACUUUCUCCUCUGAUGCAGGAUUAGUUAUCCGAAACGUCAGGAGUUUUCCAAGGAGCAACACGGUAUUUCUGCUUUUAUUCCUUACUAGUUAAUCCAAUUGGUUUUAAAUUAUUUGAAAUAAAGAUUGGCUUUUAAAUUUUAAACAAACACUGUAAGAGGACUACCCUAUCCACCUGCCUGACCACAUGGAUUAGCAUGCUAGCACAUAUCUGGACUGUUUGCUAUACACCUGGCUGUCAAGACUGUGCUCUCUUUCAUGAACUUGGACUGCAACCUCACUCUUUUGGAGGUAACCUGAGCAAUCUACCAUCUGGAACACUACUCUGUGGAUCUUUAACAUCAAACCCAACACAAGCAUGAGGUAUGCGAACCUAGGUCUGCGCUACAGGUUCCACCCAAGUGGGAGGGGUAGACCCAGGACAGUCCAAACCAUCAAGGGUGAUGAUGAGCAAGGGAAACAAAAAAGCUAACCAGCUUACAAAACCCAAUGCUGAGCCCUCCACCU
Molecule: long non-coding RNA, 752 nt
Organism: Alosa sapidissima (American shad)
Lineage: Eukaryota; Metazoa; Chordata; Actinopteri; Clupeiformes; Clupeidae
Exons: 2
Source: RefSeq, a predicted model, not a curated record